CCCUUAGAUGUUCUGGGCCGCACACGCGCUACACUGAAGGAGGCAGCGUGUACUCCUGGAUCGAAAGAUUUGGGUAACCCGCGAAUCUCCUUCGUGCUAGGGAUUGAGGUUUGCAAUUAUCCUUCAUGAACGAGGAAUUCCCAGUAAGUGCAAGUCAUAAGCUUGCGCUGACUACGUCCCUGCCCUUUGUACACACCGCCCGUCGCUCCUACCGAUUGAGUAUACCGGUGAAUUAUUCGGAUCCCAGUUUUGGGUGGCAACACUUGAAGCAGGGAGAAGAUUUGUAAGCCAUGAUACUUAGAGGAAGGAGAAGUCGUAACA
This 321-nucleotide ribosomal RNA is filed under the name uncultured eukaryote. Its description in RNAcentral is "partial 18S ribosomal RNA". It matches the Rfam family "Eukaryotic small subunit ribosomal RNA", at positions 1470 to 1796 of the family's 1831-position model. The record is from RNAcentral.